RNAcentral lists this long non-coding RNA (1074 nucleotides) under Athene cunicularia (burrowing owl). RNAcentral's name for it is "lncRNA (ENSACUG00000006766.1)". The record is from RNAcentral. Lineage: Eukaryota; Metazoa; Chordata; Aves; Strigiformes; Strigidae.
GCCCCUUCGGCCGCGGGCAAGAGGGCUUCCGUGACUUGGUCUCGGAGAAUGCGGGCACCAGCGGGAUCCGUGACGAGAGACUGUCUUCGGAGAGGGACGACACGCAGCAGAGAGCUGGCGUUCACCCGCCUGGCGGCUCCGGUGCGAGAGGGCCCGGAGCACAGGUCAUCUAGAAAUACUCCCAUCAACUGCAACAGGAUUGAGAGAAUGGCCUACGUUUUGAAGAAUUUACAAACUUCAGUUUUCAAGAAUAUGUAUCUCUACAUAAGAAGAGUCUUAUGUAAGAACUGUACGGUUUGAUUAGAAGCACACAGCAGAAACAGAGUGUCUAAAUUCCAACAGCCACAAUUCCAGGCAUGUCUGCUGCUCAGGAUGUGAUUCACUUACUCCUGUCAAGUGUUUGCUUGAGGAUAAAGAUGAUGCUAAAGGAUAAAGACCCACAUUCAGGUCUUCUCUGAUAAUGGGGAGAAAGAAAGCAAAAUGGAAACUUAUACCAUCACAAAGUGAGGAAGUGGUGCAUGCCUCUGUGUAAAGUGCUGUCUAGCAUUUACCAUAGCAAACCUGGAAGCUGGACAGCCAACCAGGAAUGUGAGAGCACCUGUAAUUUCCAGGUGUUCUGGGCACAAAAGGAGGAGAUCUAAAUGAAGACAAGACCUUACAAGGGUAAAAAAAAAAAAAAAAAAAAAAAAAAAAAAAGACGGUGUGAUUAAGUCUUUCAGUAUCAUUAUUGAAAAGACAAAUGUUGGAGGCUGUGUUGCCUAAAAAAGAUGGAGGCAUAUUAAUAGAAAAUAUACUAUUUUAUCUACAGCAGAUCAAUGCUUCGUUAAGCGAUUAGGAAGUGUUAUGAAUUCUUGAAAGAAACAAAAGAGAAAGGCUGUUUCAAUUUCAAAAUUUUUAGAAAAACUGAAAGGAUUCCAAACCUGGAAGAUAAAAUGUUCUCAACCAAAGAAAUGUUCAAUGCUCCAAUUAUUAUUCACAUUUUAAGUGCCAAAAAUUUUUUUUAAAAAAUAUUGAUUUGUCACUGAAAAUUGACUAUGCAAUAAAGAGGGGUUCUUGCAGAGGAAAACUGUCCCA